Molecule: ribosomal RNA, 468 nt
Filed under: uncultured bacterium
Lineage: Bacteria
Description: partial 16S ribosomal RNA
Rfam family: Bacterial small subunit ribosomal RNA
Source: RNAcentral
GACGAACGCUGGCGGCGUGCUUAACACAUGCAAGUCGAACGGAAAGGCCCUGCUUUUGUGGGGUGCUCGAGUGGCGAACGGGUGAGUAACACGUGAGUAACCUGCCCUUGACUUUGGGAUAACUUCAGGAAACUGGGGCUAAUACCGGAUAGGAGCUCCUGCUGCAUGGUGGGGGUUGGAAAGUUUCGGCGGUUGGGGAUGGACUCGCGGCUUAUCAGCUUGUUGGUGGGGUAGUGGCUUACCAAGGCUUUGACGGGUAGCCGGCCUGAGAGGGUGACCGGCCUCAUUGGUACUGAGAUACGGCCCAGACUCCUGCGGGAGGCAGCAGUGGGGAAUAUGGCGCAAUGGGCGGAAGCCUGAUGCAGCAACGCCGCGUGCGGGAUGACGGCCUUCGGGUUGUAAACCGCUUUCGCCUGUGACGAAGCGUGAGUGACGGUAAUGGGUAAAGAAGCACCGGCUAACUACGUG